This 302-nucleotide ribosomal RNA is filed under the name uncultured bacterium. RNAcentral's name for it is "partial 16S ribosomal RNA". It matches the Rfam family "Bacterial small subunit ribosomal RNA", at positions 508 to 808 of the family's 1533-position model. The record is from RNAcentral.
GCAGUAGCCACGGGAAUACGUAGGUGGCAAGCGUUGUCCGGAAUUAUUGGGCGUAAAGGGCCGCAGGCGGUUUCUUAAGUCUGAUGUGAAAGCCCCCGGCUCAACCGGGGAGGGUCAUUGGAAACUGGGAAACUUGAGUGCAGAAGAGGAGAGUGGAAUUCCACGUGUAGCGGUGAAAUGCGUAGAGAUGUGGAGGAACACCAGUGGCGAAGGCGACUCUCUGGUCUGUAACUGACGCUGAGGAGCGAAAGCGUGGGGAGCGAACAGGAUUAGAUACCCCUGUAGUCCCUGUCUCUUAUACA